AAAAAUUAUAAAAACUCAAUAAUAAAAACAGUCUUCCCUUUCCCAAAAAUUUCAUAUCCUCUUCUAAAUACUUAACACUUUUUCCCCUUACAAAAAAAUCUUUCUUCCAAUAUCUUGUAUUUUUAUUAUAAAAUUAUUUUUAUAUAUUCAAAUGCAUUAAAUUUUUAUUAUUUGGCAAAAAAAACCCACAAUAACCCAUUGAUAUGUAUAAACCCAUUAUAUAAUUCCAAACCCUACCUUUAUAUUCACUUGGGACCCUUCAACCAUUUUGCAACAAGCCGUAGAUGUUUCCACUGUU
Molecule: long non-coding RNA, 298 nt
Filed under: Lathyrus oleraceus (garden pea)
Lineage: Eukaryota; Viridiplantae; Streptophyta; Magnoliopsida; Fabales; Fabaceae
Description: Pisum sativum (pea) long non-coding RNA (PSAT_LNC018821)
Source: RNAcentral